GGAGAAGGGGAUUUCUCUUGUUUUGUCUCUCUGGGGCUUCAUUUCUUACUUCCAUGGUGAACUCCAGCAAAACAAGAAACUUAGAAUCAGGCUUCAAAAUUAGGAGAAGUUCGAUCAUAUGUUGGAUAUAUGUAAUAAGUGCUUGUAUAUGUUUGUUACCAAGUUUCAGAUUGAGAGACAAUUGUUAUCAUGUGACCAUGCCUGAUUUAAAACUUCAGUUGGACAGAAC
This 229-nucleotide unclassified non-coding RNA is filed under the name Hevea brasiliensis (rubber tree). The record is from RNAcentral. Lineage: Eukaryota; Viridiplantae; Streptophyta; Magnoliopsida; Malpighiales; Euphorbiaceae.